AUUUGACAUGUAUGGGGUUCUAAAAAUUACAUAUAAAGUAGCCGUUCUAAAGAAUGUGGGCCGUGCCUGACCUGAACAAGUUCGAUAAAAUCUGCUUAACCAAACCCAUUUACAGCGGCUUUUGUAACGCCCGCGAUCCUCAAUAGGAUCGUUGGCUAGGACUUGGUCCGAGAGAAGAAGGUGGAGUCUCGGACAAGUGAGAAGGAGCUGGCCAUAAGCUCGGACAAAGGGGAAAUCAUGCAGGCUAAGCUAGGAUCGUAAAGAAAUCACUUGGGUCAGCUCGCCCAAAGCUUAAGCCCAGCUGGAAGGAGUGACGGUUACUCAGGUCGAGUGACAGUCCAGCUCGGGCAGCUGGACGAGUGACGGUUGAGCUCGAGGUAGCUGGACGAGUGACGGACGAGCUCGAGGCGGCUGGACGAGUGACGGUUGAGCUCGAGGUAGCUGGGCGAGUGACGGACGAGCUCGAGGUAGCUGGACGAGUGACGGACGAACUGGGCGGUUAUGGGCGAAGAGAUACAACUCUUCGGAAAGGUGCAACUCUUCGGAAGGGCGCAACUCUUCGGAAAGGUGCAACUCUUCGGAAAGGUGCAAGGAACGGAUGUGUUGAUUCGGGAAGCAUCCAUUCGCCCCCUAUAUAAGGAAGGGCGCCCAGGACCAUUCCACUCACCACAACACACCGAAAACACAAGAAACUCACCAUUAAAACUCUCUCCCUCUUGGGAGAAUAAAUAGUCUUAGGAUUCGGUAGCCGGGCUGUGGCCGGCAAUAAAGAAGGAGGGUCAGAUCGACCUAACCUCGAGAAGGAAGGUAAGU
Molecule: small RNA, 813 nt
Filed under: Arabidopsis thaliana (thale cress)
Lineage: Eukaryota; Viridiplantae; Streptophyta; Magnoliopsida; Brassicales; Brassicaceae
Description: ATSL092480
Source: RNAcentral